UACGUAGGGUGCAAGCGUUGUCCGGAAUUAUUGGGCGUAAAGAGCUCGUAGGCGGUUUGUCACGUCUGCUGUGAAAAUCCAAGGCUCAACCUUGGACUUGCAGUGGGUACGGGCAGGCUAGAGUGCGGUAGGGGAGAUGGGAAUUCCUGGUGUAGCGGUGGAAUGCGCAGAUAUCAGGAGGAACACCAAUGGCGAAGGCACAUCUCUGGGCCGUAACUGACGCUGAGGAGCGAAAGCGUGGGGAGCGAACAGGAUUAGAUACCCUGGUAGUCCACGCCGUAAACGGUGGGUGCUAGCUGUGGGCCACAUUCCACGUGGUCCGUGACGAAGUUAACACAUUAAGCACCCCGCCUGGGGAGUACGGCCGCAAGGCUAAAACUCAAAGGAAUUGACGGGGGCCCGCACAAGCGGCGGAGCAUGCGGAUUAAUUCGAUGCAACGCGAAGAACCUUACCAAGGCUUGACAUAUAGAGGAAAAGUGCAGAAAUGCACUCCCCGCAAGGUCUCUAUACAGGUGGUGCAUGGUUGUCGUCAGCUCGUGUCGUGAGAUGUUGGGUUAAGUCCCGCAACGAGCGCAACCCUCGUCCUAUGUUGCCAGCACGUAAUGGUGGGAACUCAUGGGAUACUGCCGGGGUCAACUCGGAGGAAGGUGGGGAUGACGUCAAAUCAUCAUGCCCCUUAUGUCUUGGGCUUCACGCAUGCUACAAUGGCCGGUACAGAGGGCUGCAAUACCGCAAGGUGGAGCGAAUCCCAAAAAGCCGGUCUCAGUUCGGAUUGAGGUUUGCAACUCGACCUCAUGAAGUCGGAGUCGCUAGUAAUUGUAGAUCAGCAACGCUACGGUGAAUACGUUCCCGGGCCU
This 858-nucleotide ribosomal RNA is filed under the name uncultured bacterium. RNAcentral describes it as "SSU rRNA". It matches the Rfam family "Bacterial small subunit ribosomal RNA", at positions 524 to 1381 of the family's 1533-position model. The record is from RNAcentral.